CAACAAUGGUGCUAUACCAAGGCUACCUGAACCUCCUCCUCUGGGAUCCUGAAAAUGAAGAAUUAUCUGAGACUCUGCUGAUGGACAGAAUCUGGCUCCAGGAACUGGCAUUCCAGUUGCACCAGUUAACUGUCCUGGCCUCAGUCUUGCUAGUGGCCAGAAGCUUCUCUGGUGAAGUUUUAUUCAGAUCACCUGAAUUUGUGGAUAUACUGAAAUGCACCACCAAGGCCCUAACUGAGGAAUUUAUCUCCAGGAGUCUCUGCUACACUUUCCUGGAGGCCUCAUUCUCAUUGAAG
This 296-nucleotide long non-coding RNA is filed under the name Homo sapiens (human). RNAcentral's name for it is "novel transcript". Lineage: Eukaryota; Metazoa; Chordata; Mammalia; Primates; Hominidae. The record is from RNAcentral.